This is a long non-coding RNA of Tetranychus urticae (two-spotted spider mite), 1197 nucleotides long. RefSeq lists it as uncharacterized. The record is from RefSeq and is a predicted model, not a curated record. NCBI's taxonomy places the organism in Eukaryota, Metazoa, Arthropoda, Arachnida, Trombidiformes, Tetranychidae.
ACUGUGAUGACUAAUGACAAUCAAAUUAUGAUAAUCUAAUCUGAAAAUUUAAUUUUAAUCAAAUUUUUAGUUCCAUUAAAAUGUUUGUGUCUCUAGUAAGAAUAAUUUCGUGGGAAUAGCUAACACUUGCUAUUCAUAAGGCUUCAAAAUGCUCAGCUGUAUAAGAGGGCAAGUUAAUGAAGCAAACUGGGUUUUCAAUUUUUAUUGUUUCUAUUCAUUUUUUAUCGUUUUACGAGUUCAGUUGGUGUUUUUUCGUUAAAUAUUAGUUCAGCCUUAUGUCAUCAGUUCCAAAAGCUCAAAUUGUCAAAAGCUCAAGAAGGCGCGGAGGGUGACCAGCAGCAAAAAGCUAAUAGGUUAUUGGUAGCCAUUGAUUGAAUAGUUAAAGUGGAGAAGGGUGAGCUAACCCUGACUGGCCAUGAAUAUCUUGGACAACCUAAGCCUAACAUUAAAACCGAUUAUUUAUAUUCCAAUGGAAGCCAAAAUCUUUUUUGGAGUGUAACCGUUAACAAGACUUGAUAUAUGAUAGUGAGCUCUUUUUAUAAGCUCAGUGUCAAAUGUCGAAUGUAAAAUCUCGAUGAAAUCAAGUUCUGCAAUCAUUUGAAUUGGUUCAACUCUGGAUGAAACAGAUGAAGCUUGUGAAAAGAGGCACUUUCACUAACAAGUCAACUUGAUGAGCUUGCGUUUCAGGCUCAAUGAGACUCUUAGCCAUUACACUUUCACUGAAAUCAGCUUCUUGAUUGCACUGAAUGAUGAUUUUAAAACAUGCCUGAAAAGUAACCACUUAAAUUUAAUGGUUCACGGAUGAAACUGUAAAGUAAACAGUUAAUUAAAGUUAAUUACUGUUGAACAAUUUGUACAAAAAAAGGUAAACUUGUUUUCUUGUAAUCUGAUAUUUUCCAUUAUUCCUCAUUAUCAUUUGAUUCAUUUGUUUGUUUCGGCCUUUUGUUGCUGCCAAUCAAACGUAUUAACCAUAACUCAAAUUUUCAACCGACACUUUAUUCCAAGUUUUAUUCAUUUAAUAUUAUAAUAUUAAUAAUUAUUAAUUGCUGAGCACAAAAAAGCGCAACAAAAACAAAACUUAAUCCAUCAGUUUACAUGAUAUUCAAAUGAGUUGAACAAUGGAAAAGCUCUUAACAAUAUCAACAAUAAUUGCAAAUCUUCAUCAUUCUAAUUAAAUUUAAUGAUCAUUAUUUCAGA